Molecule: unclassified non-coding RNA, 138 nt
Filed under: uncultured Phoma
Lineage: Eukaryota; Fungi; Ascomycota
Description: sequence contains ITS1
Source: RNAcentral
CUAUGAGUUGUAGGCUCUGCCUACCUACUCUAACCCAUGUCUUUUGCGUACUACACGUUUCCUCGGCAGGUCCGCCUGCCGUUAGGACAAUUUAAACCAUUUGCAGUUGCAGUCAGCGUCUGAAAAUUUUAAUAUUUA